RNAcentral lists this ribosomal RNA (251 nucleotides) under uncultured prokaryote. RNAcentral's name for it is "partial 16S rRNA". It matches the Rfam family "Bacterial small subunit ribosomal RNA", at positions 525 to 775 of the family's 1533-position model. The record is from RNAcentral.
ACGUAGGGUGCGAGCGUUAAUCGGAAUUACUGGGCGUAAAGCGUGCGCAGGCGGUUUUAUAAGACAGAUGUGAAAUCCCCCGGCUCAACCUGGGAACUGCGUUUGUGACUGUAUGACUAGAGAACGGUAGAGGGAGGCGGAAUUCCGCGUGUAGCGGUGAAAUGCGUAGAUAUGCGGAGGAACACCGAUGGCGAAGGCAGCCUCCUGGACCAGUACUGACGCUCAGGCACGAAAGCGAGGGGAGCAAACAG